AAAAGAUUUAAAUAUAUUUUCUGCUAAAAAAUAUUAAGCUAGUAGCUAUCUUUUG
Molecule: transfer RNA, 55 nt
Filed under: Diplosoma listerianum
Lineage: Eukaryota; Metazoa; Chordata; Ascidiacea; Aplousobranchia; Didemnidae
Description: transfer RNA-Ser (AGY)
Source: RNAcentral